RNAcentral lists this ribosomal RNA (1343 nucleotides) under uncultured bacterium. RNAcentral describes it as "16S ribosomal RNA". It matches the Rfam family "Bacterial small subunit ribosomal RNA", at positions 28 to 1378 of the family's 1533-position model. The record is from RNAcentral.
GACGAACGCUGGCGGCGUGCUUAACACAUGCAAGUCGAACGGAAAGGCCCUGCUUUUGUGGGGUGCUCGAGUGGCGAACGGGUGAGUAACACGUGAGUAACCUGCCCUUGACUUUGGGAUAACUUCAGGAAACUGGGGCUAAUACCGGAUAGGAGCUCCUGCUGCAUGGUGGGGGUUGGAAAGUUUCGGCGGUUGGGGAUGGACUCGCGGCUUAUCAGCUUGUUGGUGGGGUAGUGGCUUACCAAGGCUUUGACGGGUAGCCGGCCUGAGAGGGUGACCGGCCACAUUGGGACUGAGAUACGGCCCAGACUCCUACGGGAGGCAGCAGUGGGGAAUAUUGCACAAUGGGCGGAAGCCUGAUGCAGCAACGCCGCGUGCGGGAUGACGGCCUUCGGGUUGUAACCCGCUUUCGCCUGUGACGAAGCGUGAGUGACGGUAAUGGGUAAAGAAGCACCGGCUAACUACGUGCCAGCAGCCGCGGUGAUACGUAGGGUGCGAGCGUUGUCCGGAUUUAUUGGGCGUAAAGGGCUCGUAGGUGGUUGAUCGCGUCGGAAGUGUAAUCUUGGGGCUUAACCCUGAGCGUGCUUUCGAUACGGGUUGACUUGAGGAAGGUAGGGGAGAAUGGAAUUCCUGGUGGAGCGGUGGAAUGCGCAGAUAUCAGGAGGAACACCAGUGGCGAAGGCGGUUCUCUGGGCCUUUCCUGACGCUGAGGAGCGAAAGCGUGGGGAGCGAACAGGCUUAGAUACCCUGGUAGUCCACGCUGUAAACGGUGGGUACUAGGUGUGGGGUCCAUUCCACGGGUUCCGUGCCGUAGCUAACGCUUUAAGUACCCCGCCUGGGGAGUACGGCCGCAAGGCUAAAACUCAAAGGAAUUGACGGGGCCCCGCACAAGCGGCGGAGCAUGCGGAUUAAUUCGAUGCAACGCGUAGAACCUUACCUGGGUUUGACAUGGAUCGGGAGCGCUCAGAGAUGGGUGUGCCUCUUUUGGGGUCGGUUCACAGGUGGUGCAUGGCUGUCGUCAGCUCGUGUCGUGAGAUGUUGGGUUAAGUCCCGCAACGAGCGCAACCCUUGUUCACUGCUGCCAGCACGUUAUGGUGGGGACUCAGUGGAGACCGCCGGGGUCAACUCGGAGGAAGGUGGGGAUGACGUCAAGUCAUCAUGCCCCUUAUGUCCAGGGCUUCACGCAUGCUACAAUGGCUGGUACAGAGAGUGGCGAGCCUGUGAGGGUGAGCGAAUCUCGGAAAGCCGGUCUCAGUUCGGAUUGGGGUCUGCAACUCGACCUCAUGAAGUCGGAGUCGCUAGUAAUCGCAGAUCAGCAACGCUGCGGUGAAUACGUUCCCGGG